GCACCCAUCGUCUAAAUGGUCAGGAUGCAAGACUUUCAAUCUUGUGAUACGGGUUCGAGUCCCGUUGGGUGUACCA
RNAcentral lists this transfer RNA (76 nucleotides) under Chloroflexota bacterium. Its description in RNAcentral is "tRNA-Glu". It matches the Rfam family "tRNA". Rfam says of the family: Transfer RNA (tRNA) molecules are approximately 80 nucleotides in length. Their secondary structure includes four short double-helical elements and three loops (D, anti-codon, and T loops). The record is from RNAcentral. Lineage: Bacteria; Bacillati; Chloroflexota.